RNAcentral lists this ribosomal RNA (207 nucleotides) under Triticum aestivum (bread wheat). RNAcentral describes it as "partial small subunit ribosomal RNA". Lineage: Eukaryota; Viridiplantae; Streptophyta; Magnoliopsida; Poales; Poaceae. The record is from RNAcentral.
AUGAGAAACUCCGCCCAGCGGUACUGCUGCUGCUGUUCUUCAUUGGAGUACAGUUUCCAUGUGUUUCUCCUCCGACUGUGUACGCUGAUGCUGCGGGAACGGCAGACGUCGCCUCCGCACACACCCCCAAGGACACCAAUUUCCCAGCGCCAAAUAGAAAAUGCACAUGUGAAAUCGAGAGUUUCUGCACUCCGAGCACAGAGUUAG